AAUAACCCUUGGGACAUAAAGAAGGCUAGAUCAAUUGAUUAAUUCCUUAUAACAAAUCCCUCUGUAUUACCUUUCAAUAAACCCAAAGCAUGUUGAUCUAUCAACCCUUAAGCCACAAAAUCAAAACAAUUGAACAAGUCCGUUAUCUGAUGAUAUAACUGAGGUAUCCUAAUGGUAUUCUAUAUCGAUUAUUUUACUGGUAAGCAUAGAGAAAUUCAUUAAGCAUGUAUUGAAAGACUAAUAUCAUCGAUAGGAAACAUGGACCAUGUUGAUAGAACUCAUUAUCAUCUGAUACUAAAUCUGUCAGAUAAGUAAGCAAAGUAAAAUAUCAGUGGCCAAAGAUCAUUGAAAAUAAAUAAAAUUAAACCUUAUCCUAUUCCAAAUGCUGACACAAUAAAUUCUAUAAAAC
Molecule: long non-coding RNA, 409 nt
Filed under: Olea europaea (common olive)
Lineage: Eukaryota; Viridiplantae; Streptophyta; Magnoliopsida; Lamiales; Oleaceae
Description: long non-coding RNA (OEUR_LNC007648)
Source: RNAcentral